AUCCUCCACACUGCAGCUAGAGGGAUACUUCUAGAAUGCAAAAUGCAUGAAUCAUGUCACUCCCCUACUUAACACUCAUCAAAGGCUUCCAAGUGUCAUUAAGAUAAAGUCCAAGCCCUUCAGAAUGCCCUUUGUAGCCUGGCAUCCUGCCUCCUUUUCGUGCCUAAUCUCUCAUCCUCUUGUCCUUUCCACUUUAUGUUCAAAUUAGGAAGUGGAUCUUUUUCUAGUUCCUGAACAUCAUUUUACUCCCACUCACUGAAAUCUUAGCGACCCUUUGUUUUUCACUUUAAAUAUCAUUCAGCAAAGCUUUUCUGCCCCUUAAUAAACAAGUACCCCUUCUCUGAGUUCACUCUGUAUCUUGCAUCUUCUUGUUUUACCCAGCACACUUUACCCCAAGUGAUGAUUUAACUAUCUGAUUCUCCCUCCAGAGAAGUGAGCUUUUUGAUUCUGUUCACCAUCAUAUUCCUAGCACCCAGCACAAUAUUGCAUGUCAAUUUGCUGAACGAAUGAAAGAGUGAAUGAAUGAAUGAAUUGUUGGAUGAGCCUUCUGUAGAGCUUGGUACUGAAAUUGAAUGGAGUCUUCUAUCCCUCUAUAACGUGGAGGUGAUAAAAAUACCAACGCAUGCCAUUGCUAUGAUGGGUAAAUAAGAUAUUUAUCAUACCUAAAAUGUUUGAAACAGUGCCUAUUAUGUUAUAAGCACUUCUUCCAAAUUACGAGUGCUAAUAAUCAUAUGGAUAUGUCCUCAAGAAUAUGACAAAUAGGAGUUCCCAUUGUGGCUCCGUGUGUUAAGAACCCGACAUAGUAUCUGUGAGGAUGCAGGUUCGACACCUGGCCUCGCUCAGUGGGUUAAUGAUCUGGUAUUGCCACAAGCUGAUAUGUAGGUCACAGAUGCGGCUCGUAUCUAGUGUUGCUGUAGCUGUGGCAUAGGCUGGCAGCUGCAGCUCUGAUUCGAGUUCCUAGCCUGGGAACUUCCAUUUGCCGUGGGUAUGGCCAUAAAAUGAAGAAGAAAAAAAAAAAAGCUGUGCCAAAUAAAGAAAUGGAAAAAAAAAUUAAAAGAGCAAAACAGACAAUUCAGUAGUAAAAUCUAGGUAAAUUCUUGCUGACAUUUCUAUCCUAUCCUUCAUCACAAAAAGCUUUUGAGACUUCCUGACAAUGCCUGGCAUCUGUGGUCCCAACUCAUCCACAUUUAGCAGGCAGUCGUAGAGUACAACGGAGCAAUUUCUGCCCUAGGAUCCAAGUUCAGCUCUUCUUACUAGAGUCAUUGCUGCCAAAUUCCUAACCUCUUAGGCCCUGGACCCUGUCUGUGUUCUGAGAUCUCUGACAUCUUCUCGCUACCCCUUAUAUUACCUGACCUUUUGGUCUUCGGUCCCUUGACCGCGUGCACUGGUGGUACCUGAUUAAUAGGACUUCUGCUUCUGACCCUUUCUCGUUUGGCUUGUAUCCAGGAUGGGUCAAUGGCUUUAAGGGCCUGCCCCCAGGCAGUGCCCUGUGCCAAGACACACAGGAGCAGAAUACCACGGCAGCUGGUCUACAUUAGCAUAAUUAUCGCUGAAUCUACUUUCAACCAAGUCAUUCUUUGUCUCAAACCAACCUAGUUUAGACCUUCAUCUUUAUUACUUCCUUACCAACUGCCCUUUCAACUUGGUGUCAUCUUUUCUAAGGCUUUGAUUAGCAUUCUCCUCCUGUGACAUUUCCUUGGAAACUGUUUGACUUGGUCCAGGAUUCCCGCUAUCCCUGAAUAUACUUCUGUGCUGCCCUAACUGGUCUAAGCCAGAGGUGACAAUACAGAAUAUUUAAUAAGCCAGUAAGGAGUCAAACUGAAUACUGGCAACAGGACUGCAGAAGGAUCCUGGAAAGUUCUCGUACUACAUCAAGCACUGAUCCUUUGGUAGCUGGAUCUGAGAAUAUAGAGUGAGACAUGGGAUAACAACUGCUUCAAGCUGUGUAGAGCAUUCCAGUACUCAACAACCACAACAACUGUACAUCAGCAGAGAUUUUACCCAGCAUCAUGUUUUCCAAAUCAGUCUAUUUUUUUCAUACUCUUCCACCCAAGGCAUUGCCCUUUACACUAAUCUCUAAUCUCAGGCAGUAGGAGACAGGAUUCUCACAAGGACUCUGUCUGCACAUAUAUUUGGCUUUAGUUUCUUCAUAUGGAAAUUACCAGAAGCAAAAUCACCCCCAAGGUUACUAUAUUUUUUGAGGAUAUGAUAUUGCUCGGGAAACUUCAAACUUGUGACUGUUCAAUUCUAUAAGCCCUUAAAAUUUUGUGAAUAGCAAAUGAACUAGGACGUUUGUACAUUCCUCAAAAAGAGCCUCUUCUCCAAAAUCUACUUCAGAUACAGCCAUGAUGGAUGCUAGGGAUCUUCUUAGAGAUGGAGAGGCAGAUUGUCUAACAAAACAUUGUACUCCACUGCCAUGGAAAAGCCCUUGCAUUGGAUGUGUGUUACAGACCAGUUGUCUAUAUCUAAAUCCCAGUCUUCCUUUGACUGGGGAGAGGAAGAUUGGUUGCAGUUACUCUGUUCCUUCACCACCACUGGACACUGGAGGAAAGGGGCAGAUUAGCUGUUUUUGAGCUGAGAGUCACUAGACCAGAUCUACAUCUGGAGACAAUUGCGAGGACCAGUCAUCAUUCAGAGGUAAUACACUCCAAGUUAGAUUCUCAAAUGAAUGACAUUUGAGGUUACUUCUGGUAGGAGAAGAAUGAAACCUAUCUAGAUGAAGAAGGCUGUGUAGGGAUGCCCACCAGUGAAAGGGGCAGAUUGUGAUUGGUUUAUUCAAUGCUUAUCCCUAACCUUUUUCUGUGCACAUCUACCCCUGAAGCCAGAAAAGCCACAUAUAUGCUUUUCUAGCUUCCCUUCCAAUGAGCGUGCACCACAUGACACUUCUAAACACAGAGAGACGAAGGUCAGAAACAAUGUGUGAAAGCUUUUACUGACAAAAGGAGCAGCCAUUCCUGAUUCUUUACCUCAUUUUUUUCCUGACUUUGAGGUAGACAUGAGACUUGGUGAUGUGGCAUCCACUUGAUAACUGUGGGGAAAAACCCGAGGGAGUUAAGAGUACAAGCCCUGGUACUAUUAUGCUAUUGAACAUGUCAGCAAUAAGCAACCUUCUAAUUCUUUCUUUCUUUUUUAUGCUUAACACAGUUUGAUUCUUGCUAAAUGGAAAAGAGUUCUUCAUUUAGCUUACAUCAUUGUUGAAAACUACAGGUUUGCUGUUGUGUGCACCUGAAAGCAUCUUUACUAACAGAGUCCUUCGUAACGUAAUUAAAGUCUCUACCAUCUUUAAACCCAGUGAAAACAAUGGUAAAUUUUGCAGGGCACAUCUUUAUGCUUUCUUAGGAAUAUCUCUGCUUUCUUCACAGUCCAUGUGGACUCUCUGUUCUCCACAAUGAAAUCUGUCAGGGUACAACUUCAUAAUAACCCCAACUGAGCAAACAGUACAAGGGCCAGAUGGCUAUUAUGAUACAUCUAUCUUUUCAGAAGAAAAUUUUACAAUAACAAAUUUAGAAACCUCCCCAAAAAAUUAUCAGAAGAGAAUCAAACAUAAUUGAAGCAAUAAUUAGACAUGAAUCAACAAUGAAAAAUUCAUACAAAUCAAGCUAGCACUUUUGAGCAUUAUGCUCAUGAUAAAUACUCUUGAUUACAGAUCAUUUUCCCAGGAAUAGCCCUUAAUAUCUGAGAAUCCUUCAUUACGGAAAGUUCUAGAUAACCACUACCAAGUAAUUGGAGUUGACACAUAAUGUGAAACCUUUUUCUUAACAAUUGCAUACAACACUGGGCAGUAGGUAUGGUUCAUGAUAAAACACAAUCCGUAUUCACCAGGACUGAUAACAUUUUCUUGGCGGGCAGGGGGAGGGUACCAGCUGAGUGUUUCAAUUUUGUUUUAUACCCUCUUACUUCCCUUAAGUCCUAAUUAACUUUGUCAUCUUCGUAACUACUGAGUCAAGAAGAUACACAGAAUCUCACUGAAUUUAUUCAAAACUCCAUUACUAUAACACUGUCCUCAUUGUGCCCAUAACUAUUACUAACAAACAAUGCAUACACUUUUUAUUUUAUCUCUGUCCCUUUAUCUUUGCACCUGAACAUUUAAAACUUCAAAAUUUGGAGUUCCCAUCGUGGCUCAGUGGUUAACGAAUCCGACUAGGAACCAUGAAAUUGCGGGUUCCAUCCCUGGCCUUGCUCAGUGGGUGAAGGAUCCCUGGCCUUGCUCAGUGGGUUAAGGAUCUGGUGUUGCCAUGAGCUAUGGUGUAGGUUGCAGACGUGGCUCAGAUCCCGCGUUGCUGUGGGUCUGGUGUAGGCCAGUGGCUACAGCUCUGAUUAGACCCCUAGCCUGGGAAUUUCCUUAUGCCCCGGAAGCGGCCCUAGAAAAGGCAAAAAGACCAAAAAUAAAUAAAUAAAUAAAUAAAAUUUAAAAAAAAAAAAAAAAACUUCAAAAUUCUUCUACUUUUUUUUUUUUUUUUUUUUUGUCUUUUUGCCUUUUCCAGGGCCACUUCCCAUGACAUAUGGAGCUUCCCAGGCUAGGGUCGAAUCAGAGCUGUAACCACUGGCCUAUGCCAGAGCCACAGCAACGCAGGAUCGAGCCGCGUCUGUGACCUACACCAUAGCUCGGCAAUGCCGGAUCCUUAAUCCACUGAGCAAGACCAGGGAUUGAACCUGCAACCUCACGGUUCCUAGUCGGAUUCGCUAACCACUGUACCAUGACAGGAACUCCAAAAUUAUUCUUAUUAUUGUGUGUGAAAAGGUGUUUCCUCUAUCUCUUCACAUAUGAUUAUUUAUCUGCUCUUUUGGACAACUAAGUCGGUCAAUGAAAGGAAUUUUCUAGAUAUGACUUUUGGAGGACAUCCUCUCCCUCUCCCUCUCCCUCUCCCCAUAUGGAAAAAUAGCUUCUUGCUUGAGUGACCCUCCAUUUCCUACUUCAAAUCUAUCUGGCAACGCAACCUAAAAGAUUGAUGAAAAGGAGAAGGGCUAUGAGGAGUUAAUUCUUAACACUUUUCUGCCAAAUGCAUGGAGCGUACUUAUUGGAUAUGAACUACUGAAAGAGUGCUUAAGGAUACUGCUGAAAAUACCACAACGGAGAUAUUAUCAAGAAAACUCAGGCGAUUGCUCUUUGGUGCUCUUAAAAAAGAAUUACACAUGAGAAAAGUAAAGAGGAAGUGCAAAGAAAAGAAAAUAUAGUUGGAGGGGCAAGAAUAGAACAGAAAAUUAAGUUUAAUGACAUUUUAGAAAUAGGUGUGUAGGGAGUUCCCAUUGUGGCACAGCAGAAACGAAUCCAACUAGAAACCAGGAGGUUGCAGGUUCCAUCUGUGGCCUCACUCAGUGGGUUAUGGAUCCGGCGUUGCCAUGAGCUGAGGUGUAGGUCACAGAUGCAGCUCAGAUCCUGCAUUGCUGUGGCUGUGGCAUAGGCCGGCAGCUGUAGCUUUGAUUUGACCCCUAGCCGGGGAACUUCCAUAUGCUGUGGGUGC
RNAcentral lists this long non-coding RNA (5462 nucleotides) under Sus scrofa (pig). Its description in RNAcentral is "lncRNA (ENSSSCG00000056776.1)". Lineage: Eukaryota; Metazoa; Chordata; Mammalia; Artiodactyla; Suidae. The record is from RNAcentral.